RNAcentral lists this long non-coding RNA (532 nucleotides) under Bos indicus x Bos taurus (hybrid cattle). RNAcentral describes it as "lncRNA (ENSBIXG00000000986.1)". The record is from RNAcentral. Lineage: Eukaryota; Metazoa; Chordata; Mammalia; Artiodactyla; Bovidae.
AUCUUUAUUGCUCAUAUUAAUUCCCCCUCAGGUCUCUUUGACUUGGUUAUCUGUUGAGAAAAAGUUCUGCAGCCCAACCUGGUAUUACCCCGGCAGCAAACAGUUAUAUUUCCAGAGAACCUGUUGCAACACGGCGUACAGAGACCGCUGUCACUUUGGACUCACCAGGUUAUAUUUCCAGAGAACCUGUUGCAAACACGGCGUACAGAGACCGCUGUCACUUUGGACUUACCAGGUAAGUUACCAACCAAAGGAGAUGGGUAAUAGAUUUCCAGCCAUUAGCAUCAUAUCUGUGUAUUUAAUAAGCACCUAUCUGUGUGAUAUUCUAUGAUACAUGAGUCAAAUUAAAGCAACAACACUGAAAAGAAACAUUGCCAGGUUACCUCUGGCUCUUGGAAUUGGGGUAAUUUUUUUCUGCUAUUUCAGUUCAGUUUAGUUCAGUCAUUCAGUUGUGUCCAACUCUUUGCGACCCCAUGAAUUGCAGCACGCCAGGCCUCCCUGUCCAUCACCAACUCCCGGAGUUCACCCAGAC